GCAGCGCGAGAGAGCUUGCUCUCUUGGCGGCGAGUGGCGGACGGGUGAGUAAUAUAUCGGAACGUGCCCAGUAGCGGGGGAUAACUACUCGAAAGAGUGGCUAAUACCGCAUACGCCCUACGGGGGAAAGGGGGGGAUCGCAAGACCUCUCACUAUUGGAGCGGCCGAUAUCGGAUUAGCUAGUUGGUGGGGUAAAGGCUCACCAAGGCAACGAUCCGUAGCUGGUUUGAGAGGACGACCAGCCACACUGGGACUGAGACACGGCCCAGACUCCUACGGGAGGCAGCAGUGGGGAAUUUUGGACAAUGGGGGAAACCCUGAUCCAGCCAUCCCGCGUGUAUGAUGAAGGCCUUCGGGUUGUAAAGUACUUUUGGCAGAGAAGAAAAGGUAUCCCCUAAUACGGGAUACUGCUGACGGUAUCUGCAGAAUAAGCACCGGCUAACUACGUGCCAGCAGCCGCGGUAAUACGUAGGGUGCAAGCGUUAAUCGGAAUUACUGGGCGUAAAGCGUGUGUAGGCGGUUCGGAAAGAAAGAUGUGAAAUCCCAGGGCUCAACCUUGGAACUGCAUUUUUAACUGCCGAGCUAGAGUAUGUCAGAGGGGGGUAGAAUUCCACGUGUAGCAGUGAAAUGCGUAGAUAUGUGGAGGAAUACCGAUGGCGAAGGCAGCCCCCUGGGAUAAUACUGACGCUCAGACACGAAAGCGUGGGGGAGCAAACAGGAUUAGAUACCCUGGUAGUCCACGCCCUAAACGAUGUCAACUAGCUGUUGGGGCCGUUAGGCCUUA
This 784-nucleotide ribosomal RNA is filed under the name Alcaligenes faecalis. RNAcentral's name for it is "bacterial SSU rRNA". It matches the Rfam family "Bacterial small subunit ribosomal RNA", at positions 66 to 842 of the family's 1533-position model. Lineage: Bacteria; Pseudomonadati; Pseudomonadota; Betaproteobacteria; Burkholderiales; Alcaligenaceae. The record is from RNAcentral.